This 437-nucleotide ribosomal RNA is filed under the name uncultured bacterium. RNAcentral describes it as "bacterial SSU rRNA". It matches the Rfam family "Bacterial small subunit ribosomal RNA", at positions 340 to 786 of the family's 1533-position model. The record is from RNAcentral.
UACGGAAGGCAGCAGUGGGGAAUAUUGCACAAUGGGCGGAAGCCUGAUGCAGCGACGCCGCGUGAGGGAUGACGGCCUUCGGGUUGUAAACCUCUUUCAGUAGGGAAGAAGCGAGAGUGACGGUACCUGCAGAAGAAGCGCCGGCUAACUACGUGCCAGCAGCCGCGGUAAUACGUAGGGCGCAAGCGUUGUCCGGAAUUAUUGGGCGUAAAGAGCUCGUAGGCGGUUUUGUCGCGUCUGCUGUGAAAGCCCGGGGCUCAACCCCGGGUCUGCAGUGGGUACGGGCAGACUAGAGUGCAGUAGGGGAGACUGGAAUUCCUGGUGUAGCGGUGAAAUGCGCAGAUAUCAGGAGGAACACCGAUGGCGAAAGGCAGGUCUCUGGGCUGUUACUGACGCUGAGGAGCGAAAGCAUGGGGAGCGAACAGGGAUUAGAUACC